RNAcentral lists this long non-coding RNA (1576 nucleotides) under Linum usitatissimum (flax). Its description in RNAcentral is "long non-coding RNA (LUSI_LNC007880)". Lineage: Eukaryota; Viridiplantae; Streptophyta; Magnoliopsida; Malpighiales; Linaceae. The record is from RNAcentral.
GCGAGCUCCGCCGCGCCAAGGCCAAGACCAAGUUCCCUCACUCCGGCGAACUCCAGAUGUCGAUGAUGACGAACAACAAUAUUAAUAAUAACAUUCUGAUGAACAAGAAGGCUUUCAAUAGCCAGAUCUCCGCCUCCGCCGCCGCAAAGAAUAACAAUCGCAGUCCUAGCCAGAGCAGCACCGUGGAGUCCUCCAGCCGCGAGCCGCAGCAACAGAUGAUGAUCGAGUCCUCUCCUCCUCUGGAUCUGAAUCUCGGACCUGUCUCCGCCGUCGUCCGCUUUCCGUUUCAGCCGAUGGGGCCNNNNNNNNNNGGCCGCCGCCGGCGGCGGCGGCGACGAUGAGCCGCAUCCACAAUCCGCAUCACCACGUGACCUACUACGAGGCGCUGAUGAAGAACGCGCAGUAUCAACGGAUGAUUCACGAUCAUCAUCAACGCAACCAGGCUAUUUUCAGCGGCGGCGGCGGAGGAGGAGUCCAGAGCGAUUCCGAUUCUUCUUCCGUCGUCGAUUUGAACCAUAACCACACCGAUCCGAUCCAUCCGUUGCCGAAGACAACCAGAUCUCUGGAUCUGGAUCUGAACCUGCCGCCACCAUCGGAGAACGUGUGACGUUUUUUUUGGAAUCAUAGCUCUGUUCGCCGGAGAUGGAACAAAUCCCCAAAUCUGCCGUUGACGAAUUAUAGUUUCUUCCUUUUUUUUGUUUUCAAUUACCGUCGUCCCGUUCUCCUUUAGGCAAGUAGAUAGAAGAAAAGAUAACAGAAUAGAAAAGAUUAUUCCGGCGAGUUGGUAGUUCCUCAAGAUUGUACGAGGAGGAGAAAAUAUCAAAAGAAAGAAAUCCAAAUCUCCUAUGUGUAUGAAGCUCUUAGCAGCUGACGGAGAUCUCUACCGUCCUCCGUCGCUCUUUUUUGCAGCAAAGAGAGUUUCUCUUUCGUUGUUCAUAACUAGUUCUUACUGUAAUCCCCCAUUUCCGUUACUGUUUUUUGCAGUUCAUAAUCGAUCAGAAAUCAGAAUUCCUUUCUUUCCAGUGAAUCAUAAUCGAAUCAGCCAUAGCUGAUUGUUCUCCACUCUGUUUUUCAUCUCCAAUGAUAAAACUCGUCGCCGGUAAGGUGUUAGGGGCAGGGGAUUCGCAGCGGCCGGCUGCCGGCGACUAAGUCGACAGUACGGAUGGUUGUGCGCACGAGCUGUUCUUUUCUGGGAGGCGUUUUUAUUAAUUAAAUAAUAAAAUAUAAUAAAUUAGGGUAAAUUUGACUGUGGGGAAAUUAUUAGACAGGUGUCCGUAUUACAGUUUGCGUUUCUUUCGUGAUUUCGGAUUGUUGUUCUUUCGGCUUCUCCUUAAUUUCAGGGGUAUACAAAUACGGUGUAUUUACGGCCAUGAAAUACGGGAGUGUACGGAAUAAACAAAUUUUUUUGUACGGUAUAAAGGGAAUUAUUUAUUUUUUAUAUAAAAAUUACCAAGUCUUAGGUGUUUACAAAACAUGUACAUUAAAAGGUAAUUAUGGCCAAUGGGUUAUUAUUACAAGUCCUAACAUGUAACAACUAGAGUGUUUAUUAUGGCAUUGUUAGUGAAUUCGAUAUCGC